GACGAACGCUGGCGGCGUGCUUAACACAUGCAAGUCGAACGGAAAGGCCCUGCUUUUGUGGGGUGCUCGAGUGGCGAACGGGUGAGUAACACGUGAGUAACCUGCCCUUGACUUUGGGAUAACUUCAGGAAACUGGGGCUAAUACCGGAUAGGAGCUCCUGCUGCAUGGUGGGGGUUGGAAAGUUUCGGCGGUUGGGGAUGGACUCGCGGCUUAUCAGCUUGUUGGUGGGGUAGUGGCUUACCAAGGCUUUGACGGGUAGCCGGCCUGAGAGGGUGACCGGCCACAUUGGGACUGAGAUACGGCCCAGACUCCUACGGGAGGCAGCAGUGGGAAAUAUUGCACAAUGGGCGGAAGCCUGAGGCAGCAACGCCGCGUGCGGGAUGACGGCCUUCGGGUUGUAAACCGCUUUCGCCUGUGACGAAGCGUGAGUGACGGUAAUGGGUAAAGAAGCACCGGCUAACUACGUG
Molecule: ribosomal RNA, 468 nt
Filed under: uncultured bacterium
Lineage: Bacteria
Description: partial 16S ribosomal RNA
Rfam family: Bacterial small subunit ribosomal RNA
Source: RNAcentral